CUACGGGCUGCUGCAGUGAGGAAUAUUGCACAAUGGGGGGAACCCUGAUGCAGCAACGCCGCGUGGAGGAUGACGCAUUUCGGUGUGUAAACUCCUUUUAUAUGUCAAGAAAAUGACGGUAGCAUAUGAAUAAGCACCGGCUAACUCCGUGCCAGCAGCCGCGGUAAUACGGAGGGUGCAAGCGUUACUCGGAAUCACUGGGCGUAAAGGACGCGUAGGCGGGUUGGAAAGUCAGGUGUGAAAUCCUACAGCUUAACUGUAGAACUGCACUUGAAACUUCUAAGCUAGAGUAUGGGAGGGGGAGAUGGAAUUAGUGGUGUAGGGGUAAUAUCCGUAGAUAUCACUAGGAAUACCUAAAGCGAAGGCGAUCUCCUGGAACAUUACUGACGCUAAGGCGUGAAAGCGUGGGGAGCAAACAGGAUUAGAUACCCGAGUAGUC
RNAcentral lists this ribosomal RNA (439 nucleotides) under uncultured bacterium. RNAcentral describes it as "partial 16S ribosomal RNA". It matches the Rfam family "Bacterial small subunit ribosomal RNA", at positions 339 to 795 of the family's 1533-position model. The record is from RNAcentral.